RNAcentral lists this non-coding RNA (28 nucleotides) under Mus musculus (house mouse). Lineage: Eukaryota; Metazoa; Chordata; Mammalia; Rodentia; Muridae. The record is from RNAcentral.
UAGAACCUGAACUUAACUUUCGAUUGAC